ACAAAAUGUAGCUUAACUAAAGCCCCUCGCUUACACCGAGAGCAUGUCUGUUAAACCCAGAUCAUUUUGA
RNAcentral lists this transfer RNA (70 nucleotides) under Glyphoglossus molossus (blunt-headed burrowing frog). RNAcentral describes it as "tRNA-Val". Lineage: Eukaryota; Metazoa; Chordata; Amphibia; Anura; Microhylidae. The record is from RNAcentral.